AUGACAUGCCUAGACAAUUCAUCCAAGAAAUUCAUAGAGAAACAUUCUCCUAAUGGAAUAACAUUAGGUGCAAAGGGAGGGGUUGAUAGCAGUAAGACAAAAACAACAGUUGGCAAAGUAAAUGCUACCCAUGGGUCACAGGGGAAAUUAAGGUUAAUAGAGAGGGCGGUGAUUUUCCGAUUUGUUAUGGUUUCUAAUGGUGACAAGAAUCACUAA
Molecule: non-coding RNA, 216 nt
Organism: Vicia faba (fava bean)
Lineage: Eukaryota; Viridiplantae; Streptophyta; Magnoliopsida; Fabales; Fabaceae
Source: the annotation of a GenBank genome assembly